GAUGAACGCUGGCGGCGUGCCUAACACAUGCAAGUCGAACGGAUGCCUUCGGGCAUUAGUGGCGCACGGGUGAGUAACACGUGGUUGAUCUACCCUCAAGUAGGGGAUAACGUUCCGAAAGGAAUGCUAAUACCCUAUAAGCUCCCGGUGUUUAGAAGACUGGGAGAAAAGUUCCGGCGCUUGAGGAGGAGACUGCGAACCAUCAGCUAGUUGGUGAGGUAAAGGCUUACCAAGGCGACGACGGUUAGGGGACCUGAGAGGGUCGGCCCCCCACACUGGAACUAGAGAACGACGGUCCGACGACUCCUACGGGAGGCAGCAGUGAGGAAUAUUGCACAAUGGGCGCAAGCCUGAUGCAGCGACGCCGCGUGGGUGAUGAAGGCUUUCGGGU
Molecule: ribosomal RNA, 391 nt
Filed under: uncultured bacterium
Lineage: Bacteria
Description: bacterial SSU rRNA
Rfam family: Bacterial small subunit ribosomal RNA
Source: RNAcentral